AAAUAGAGGCGCGGCUUUCAAGAGUAGUGAGAGGGAGGUUGCCAAAACUGAGGAAAUCUCAUGAAAGGGUGGGCUGCCGAAGGGGAAUAUGAGGCGGAUAUUGUCCUGGCUGCAACGGCAAACAGCCUUGCGGCUGUCAUCACUUGUGAUGGAGUGCUAUUU
This 162-nucleotide non-coding RNA is filed under the name uncultured Acutalibacter sp. Its description in RNAcentral is "Lysine riboswitch". It matches the Rfam family "Lysine riboswitch aptamer". Rfam says of the family: Riboswitches are metabolite binding domains within certain messenger RNAs that serve as precision sensors for their corresponding targets. Allosteric rearrangement of mRNA structure is mediated by ligand binding, and this results in modulation of gene expression. Lineage: Bacteria; Bacillati; Bacillota; Clostridia; Eubacteriales; Acutalibacteraceae. The record is from RNAcentral.